CUUUUUUUGAAAUUACACACACAAUGAAAUAUAUUUCUUUGUUUCUGAAUUCCAAGUAGGCUAAUUUUUCCAAGUCUUCAGUCAGAAACAAAGCUAGGAAGAUUUCAGUACAAAAGGUGAAGACUGCUUAAUGUGAUGAUAAACUGAAAGCAAUUAAAUUAGACUGGAAAUAUUUCUGCAGCCCUAAAUGUAGUAGGAGUUGCCUGUUGAAGUGUUAUAAAUAACUCAUCCUCCCCCACUCCUCCUAUUUGGCAGAGUUGUUUUGCCACUUAGUUCUUUAAUUUUAUGAAAGUUACCUGAUCUUCAGGUUGCCAAAAUACAUGUUAAUUCAUCUUGUUCAUCUGGAGGUGGUUAAAAGAUGGCAAAUAUGAAUUCAUUCCUAGCCUUUGCCUAGUGAUAGUUCAGAGUUCAGUUCCAAAGCCUGUACUAAUUUUUUGACACAAGUGUGCCAAAUGCAACUGUCCUCUCCUCAGAGGGGAAUUGUGGAGCAAGUCAAGGAUGACUUUUAUUGAGUAGCUGACCAAACAAGCAGAAAUGAGAACACUUGCAUCUUUAAUAAAAGAACAGUGCACAUCUUUCCCCCUUGACUAAACAAUCGCACAACCACAGUAAAUGCAAGCACUUCCAUUUUAAUUAUCAAGCACCUGCCUGUCUUUAAGUGAUUGUUGUGAGUCAGAGAGGAAGAAUCUGUCUUAAACAAAAUGAGUGUUAUUCCAGUGGCAUGCAAGCCUCUGGGCAGCUGACUCAGCAGUUAGUGCUGAACUCAGUUCCCAAGGUUGGAAAAGCAGUAAGCAAAAACUUACUUAAAAAAACCACACACACACACACACACACACACACACACAAAAACCCCAAACAAACCCACCAAGCCUGAAAAGCAAAAAAGAAAACCCAAACCAACACCAAAAAGCACCCCCUGACGCUAUGUUUAUUAACAUCUGAUUUGUAUAAAUUCAUUUCACUGUGGAAAUAUUAAGUUACGAAACACUGGAUUAAAAACACUGGAAAAUUGGUGAGGAUGGUAUGCACUUAACUCCCACAUGAAGUUAAAUGGCAAAAGGAGUUAGUUCCACAACUUCCAUACUUCUGAGUUAGACCGAAGGCAACAGACCAAUAUUUUGGCACUUGGUUCUGCUCUUGAUUCCUUGAAUGUGCUGAAUGGUCAGAAGCUUACCUGAUGCCCACAGCCACUGCUUCACUGGAAGCUGGGACCUUCUUCUGCAAGCCGAGGCAAAGCAGAUGCCAUGACAAACAUGUGCUGUUUAACUCUGGGCAGACAUGGAGGAGCAAUGUUCUGUAGACAGCAUCAAGCAGGUGAUAACUGCAAAUUAUUGAAUGGAGCUGCGCACUAGGAAUAUAAAGAAAAUAGAUGAAAGUAGCUGAAGGGAAAAUAGCUGUGCAUGCUUUGUCAACAGUAGUUAGGUCAGAGCAGCCUGAAAGAGAAAGGUAAUGUUAUAGAGGACUUGAGAAUAGCCUGACUUAUAAAUAUCCCACUUUAGAUAUGCUUUUGCAGUGAUUGUUUCAAGAUAAAAAAGCUUGGUGGGCUGUUACUGUCUUGACUUUUAUGCCCAGGGCUGUAAUACUUAAUUCUCAUCCCACCAUUAGACUUUCAGUCCAUUUGCUUUUAUUGCAGUUCUCUAUUAAAAAAAAAAAAAAAAAAAAAAAAAAAAAAAAACACCCAAGUUUCCUAAUUCUCUUUAUUGUCACACUUAUUCCUGAAGUUAUGUUCUGGUGCUCUGCAAGUCACAUGCUUUUUGGCUGCAGAUACAUUCGUACUGUGCCUUCUCAAGUUGAGAUUUAGAGGCACUGAUUUUGGUGAUGACCAAAAAAUAAAAAUGAAGUGUUUUAAGCAUGAGUGCCUCUUUGUAGGAAAGAAAUAGAUUUGCUAUUUCUAAAUGUAAUAUGAUUACAGGAAAUAUGCUUAAUAAGUUUGAGGAUAGCUGUCUCUUUCUGAGGGGAAAAACUUACACUUCAUUUUCUUGUCCCGUCCGAAAGGACCAGGCUUCCAGAGGGACUGGAAGAGAAGUAUUGCAACUGCACUCCUAAUAAACCUGGAACUGCAGAAUGUCGCAGUGAAUGCUGUUUUUCCAGAAUUUGUGACACUCUGAGAGCCUCAGCCACUGUCCCUAUUGCUGCAUGCCAGGGACGCAGAUCUACCGUAGGCACUCCGGCUACAGCUACUGGCACAGUAUAAAUUAGAGGCUGUCUGUAGGGGCAGGUUGAAGAGUAGUUUUUCCUUCUUGGUAGGUCUCACAAAGCAUCUGUUACUGACGAGUAUGAGAAAGAGAAAAAUAGAGAAUACUUAAGGACAUUCUUUUCUGUGUUAGUGUCUACAUCCAAGUGAGGCAGUGUCAAAACAAUCCUGAAUGUCACUUGUGUACAUUAAAAUGGUCAGAGGUGGUUUAAUGCUGGAUGCUUUUAUACUCUUUAUCUACCUCCCCUGUCUAGAUUUGUCAUAGUGUUAAUCCUUGUAUCUAAAAGAUUGUUCCUCUUAUGAAGCAAUACCCAUAUUUAUUUACAGCAGUCUUGUCUUUGACUUCUAAAGCCAAGUUGAUGUUAAUGGACACUCAGACUUUGCAAGGGUUUGGGUUGGGUCACUGCUAAGAUAGUUGCUGAGAUGGUAUUGCUUCCUACAAUGCUGAGUCAACAAUUAAGUGUUAAUUGCAAGGUUGGUAGCAGGUGUUUUAUAAAUAUCUUUUUAUGCUAAUGACUUCCCAAAAUGAUAAGUUUUUCAGGAUCAAUGAAGCUAUUAAGGGUUAUGAGAGUGGCAGAUCGCCACAGAGAUGAGACUUCAUUCAUAGUUAGCAAAGAUUAGAACAGCUAUUUUAACCAUUUGUUUGAUUUCAGAGUGAUGAAAGGACAGUUUCUUCAGCUGAGUUGAGGAAAAGAAGCGAUUAAAGAGAAGGCAUAGAGAGAAUGCAAACUGAGGAAGAAGAAAUAGUAUGGGAGAGAUGUUUACUCAAACAACCUUGGCUUCCUUAACGAUGAAUGAAGACUUGCAAGUUGUGGCCUUCACCUAAAAAUUAAAACCAGGAGAGUGCCCGAUAAUCUGUUUAAGGAGAGAAUAUAUAAUAAUACUUCUUGAAAGAGGUGGGGAUGUUAAAGCCACCUGGACAGCUCCAAAGAGUUCAAAGAGAAGAUGAGCCACAAUGACCCAAACUGGUAAAGGAAAAAGGGUUCAGGGGAAGCUGUUAUUUGUGAGAUGACCUGCAAACAAGCUUUUUCUCGAGAGCAGCGUGUAGAAGUUCUCUAGGAAGAGAGAGAUGAGUUUUUCAGGACUUGAAGUGCAAUAUUUGUGGCCAAAGGAAAAUUUAAAUGGUCCUGGAUAUUCUCCUCCUUAUGUACCUUCGGGACAAGCAUGACGGAGCAAGAAUGUGCAUAUACUCUCUAAGAUUCUUGCAAAGAGAUGUUUUCCAGAUCAGACUGCCAGGCCAUAAAACCCAUUCUUAUGAAGAACUCCAAUUACUGCUCAGUGAUGGAUUGCAAUAGAUGCCAUGCCUCUUGCACAAGCUAAGCUGUUGCCAGCAUGCUUCAGGCAUAACUGGGUCCUUUUCAGAAAAGCCUUUGCUGAGGAGCAUCUCCCUGCUGGACUGGCCAGCAAAAGAUCAGAGUACAGGGGACUUCAGAAUGUCAAGACUUGGACUUCAUCUCCUUCUUCCACACAGAACAUGCUAGGCAUGAUUUCACAGGAGAAUGGCAGCUACUCAAGCAGAAAGCUGAUGUUUCUGAUUUCCUAGUUUCUUAUUGUUGAUAAGCUGGCACUGGUGGUAUUUGGGGACCAUGAACACUGCUACAUUUCUGACUUCUUCUGUAGAUCAUUCUUCUAUGACUGACAUGAGCUAAAGACUGAACUUCCUAAGUUUUGGAUUUCAUCUGAGGACAGCUGCCCCAAGACAAAUGUUCUCAUGGACAAAAAGAAGCAUUUUGAAUGGUACAUUGCUACAACAAGGAAGCAAAGGACAACUUCAGCCUAACUCUGAUGUAGAAUCCUGGUACAGUUGGGAAGAAAAGAAAGCUCAAUUUAACCAAAUCACAGAAUCACAGCGUGGUUGGGGUUGGAAGGGACCUCUGGAGAUCAUCUAGUCCAAGCCACCUGCUAAAGCAGGUACUCCUGGAGUAGAUUGCACAGGAAUGUCUCCAGAGAAGGACACUCCACAGCCUCUCUAGGCAGCCUGUUCCAGGACCCUGUCACUCUCAGGGUAAAGAAGUUUUUCCUCAUAUUCAAAUGGAACCUCCUAUGCUUCAAUCUGUGCCCGUUGCCCCUCGUCCUUUUGUUGGGCACCCACAUCUAUCCUCUGCCUUCCUAAACUGUCCCCAACCUGGCGUGGGCCACCCUUAGCUGCAGUCUCUUGGGGGUGGCCAGCCAUGGGCUGCGUCCCCUCAGCAGUGGCACCAGGCACCUCUUGCUGCAGCUACAGAUCUCCAUGACUGUCCAUCCCUCCUCACCGCUCCUCAAGCAUCUCCCUGUGUCUCUCCUUAUGUGUUUCCUCACACAUCUCCUCCCAUAGCUGCCAAGGCUCCUUCUGGGACAUGUUUGAGGGAUGGUGCCAUGUCUCCUUUCAACUCGUGGUAGUUUGGGCACCCAGCGAGUUGCCUCCAUCAGGCUGCAGCACCAGCUACCAGGCCACUCAUCGUCUCCUCCCACACAGGCACUGCUGCUACCCCAGCUACCAAAAUCUUGCUUGUUUGUGCCCACUACAGGUAGUAAUUGUGUAAUUACGAGACAUGGAAUGUCUGACUAGGUAGAGUGAAGGUUGCUUUAAGUGACAGUUUGAACGUUAAUCACAGGUGUCCUUACCUUGUGAAGAUGCAGCCUGAUACCUUGCUUGCAAGUCUCACAAAAUGAACUUUCUUUAAGUGUGGUUGUUUCAUCUGGAAUUUAAGAAAGAAUUGAGAGGUGAGUGCAAAGAUUGUAGGAGACUUAGGAAAUCUGCCAUGCUGAAACAGUGUUAAUUGUUCUGCUAAGCAAGGGCGGCAGGGGGAGUGUGAUGAGUCUGCAAGUGUCUCCAAAUUGCUUCAAAGAGGAAAGGAAUAAUUUGGUUUCCAUUGCUUCUGGGGACAGGAUAAAGAAUAAUGGAAUUAAAUUGCAGUAAAUGCAAUUUAGGCUAGACAUCAGGAAAAAAAUUCCAGUUGUAAAAAUAGUUGCUUUCUAGAAUAGAUUGCUUGGGGAAAUUCUGGAGUCUCUGUCACUGCAGUACUUAAGAGCAGACUAAACAAGCAUUUUCCAGGGAUAAUUUAAGCACACUUGGUUCAGUUGUCCAGGCACAC
This is a long non-coding RNA of Columba livia (rock pigeon), 5268 nucleotides long. RefSeq lists it as uncharacterized. The transcript is spliced from 11 exons. NCBI's taxonomy places the organism in Eukaryota, Metazoa, Chordata, Aves, Columbiformes, Columbidae. The record is from RefSeq and is a predicted model, not a curated record.